This 548-nucleotide ribosomal RNA is filed under the name Filobasidium magnum. RNAcentral's name for it is "eukaryotic LSU rRNA". It matches the Rfam family "Eukaryotic large subunit ribosomal RNA", at positions 87 to 616 of the family's 3401-position model. Lineage: Eukaryota; Fungi; Basidiomycota; Tremellomycetes; Filobasidiales; Filobasidiaceae. The record is from RNAcentral.
CGGCGAGUGAAGCGGGAAGAGCUCAAAUUUGAAAUCUGGUGGCCUCAGGUCAUCCGAGUUGUAAUCUAUAGAAGUGUUUUCCGUGCUGGCUCAUGUACAAGUCCCUUGGAACAGGGCGUCAUAGAGGGUGAGAAUCCCGUCCUUGACAUGAACUACCAGUGCUCUGUGAUACAUUUUCAACGAGUCGAGUUGUUUGGGAAUGCAGCUCAAAAUGGGUGGUAAAUUCCAUCUAAAGCUAAAUAUUGGCGAGAGACCGAUAGCGAACAAGUACCGUGAGGGAAAGAUGAAAAGCACUUUGGAAAGAGAGUUAAACAGUAUGUGAAAUUGUUGAAAGGGAAACGAUUGAAGUCAGUCGUGCUCUUUGGAUUCAGCCGGUUCUGCCGGUGUACUUCCUUUGAGUGGGGUCAACAUCAGUUUUGAUCGCUGGAUAAAGGCUGGAGGAACGUAGUACCCUCGGGUAAACUUAUAGCCUCCUGUCACAUACAGUGGUUGGGACUGAGGAACGCAGCACGCCUUUAUGGCCGGGAUUCGUCCACGUACGUGCUUAG